Myodes glareolus (Bank vole) is the source of this 1164-nucleotide non-coding RNA. The record is from RefSeq and is a predicted model, not a curated record. Lineage: Eukaryota; Metazoa; Chordata; Mammalia; Rodentia; Cricetidae.
AGAACCUUCAAACCACUGAGUCAACUGCUUAGAGACAUCCCAGCAGGCUCACUUGUCUUCAGACAGGAGACCAAAUAGGAUGCUGUGCUGUUGAUUUCGGGUUUGUGGAAGCUGAGACCACAAGACCAAGAAAAGUGGAGGCCACGGUGGAGGCCGUGGAGGUGCCUGGAGACGCCUGGUUCACUCUUGGAUCCAGCGUCUCUGGCCAAAAUGAAACAAAAUUGAGUCAGGGCAGCCAGAGCCAGGACCAUGAAGACCAGCUUGAAAAGUGGUCAGCCCCAGAGGACCCUAAGGACACUGGCCAAGAGGACCCGAAGGAGUUAACCCCAGAAGAAACGAAGGAAUCCAGAUGAGAGAAAAUGAAGGAGUCAAGUCCAGAGGAACCAAAGGAGUCUUCCUCAGAGGACCCUAAGGAGUCCUCUCAAGAGGACUUGAGUCCUCCAUAGGGGACCUGAAGGAGUCCUCCCCACCAGAUCCUCAGCCCUGCUCAUUGUAUUCAUAUGUUUAAGAGCUCAAUAUGUUCCCCCUUGCAGUAUCACAUGCACUGAGUCUUGGGAGGGGUGGCAAAGGAAGUUCAUUUUACUAAGUGUCCUGUCUGUCCCUUUCCACCAGUACCAUCUGUACCCUCCUGGACACAUGGAUUGACGAGAUCCCUAAGGACUUUUCCAAGACAUCAGACAUGUCCGUUCUGAAGAGGAUCCGGAGAGCUGCAAGCUGAGCUGUACAUCCAGAUCUGGAGGUCAAGUCUGUUAACCAGCAAUGAAGACAGCUAUUCUCAAGCCAGAACCAGCCAGAACCAGAGCAGCCGGAGAGAAGAGAACCCAACAAGGUUCUGUGACACGUGUGCAGCUGGAGCUGCAGCCCUGGAUGCUCCGCUUGCUCCACCUCUUACCCUGUCAGCAGACACAGGGCAACUUCUAUGGGGGUCUAACUCCCCAGGGAAUGGGCCCGCCCCCUUGCUCCUCUCCGUGUCCUUCAUCUAUCUGCUCUGCAGACAGCACCAGUUCUGUUGUUUCCACAGAAUCACCCCCUGAUUUCAACCCAGCAGCCUUCCCAGACCCACAGUCAGCCUCCCUCCCCUGAGUAAUAGCCUUUUGAGUCUUUGGAUGUUUUCAAUGUUGUGUUAGUUUAAAUAUUGGUUUGAAUAAAUGAUUCCUCUUUGUU